GAUGAAGAACGUAGCGAAAUGCGAUAAGUAAUGUGAAUUGCAGAAUUCAGUGAAUCAUCGAAUCUUUGAACGCACAUUGCGCCCGCCAGUAUUCUGGCGGGCAUGCCUGUUCGAGCGUCAUUACAACCCUCAGGCCCCCGGGCCUGGCGUUGGGGAUCGGCGGAGCCCCCCGUGGGCACACGCCGUCCCCCAAAUACAGUGGCGGUCCCGCCGCAGCUUCCAUCGCGUAGUAGCUAACACCUCGCGACUGGAGAGCGGCGCGGCCACGCCGUAAAACACCCAACUCUUCUGAAGUUGACCUCGAAUCAGGUAGGAAUACCCGCUGAACUUGAGCAUAUCAAUAAGCGGAGGA
This 352-nucleotide unclassified non-coding RNA is filed under the name soil metagenome. RNAcentral's name for it is "partial contains 5.8S ribosomal RNA, internal transcribed spacer 2, and large subunit ribosomal RNA". The stretch from base 1 to 120 matches the Rfam family "5.8S ribosomal RNA", at positions 35 to 154 of the family's 154-position model. The record is from RNAcentral.